RNAcentral lists this ribosomal RNA (491 nucleotides) under uncultured bacterium. RNAcentral's name for it is "bacterial SSU rRNA". It matches the Rfam family "Bacterial small subunit ribosomal RNA", at positions 28 to 507 of the family's 1533-position model. The record is from RNAcentral.
GAUGAACGCUAGCUACAGGCUUAACACAUGCAAGUCGAGGGGAAACGACAUCGAAAGCUUGCUUUUGGUGGGCGUCGACCGGCGCACGGGUGAGUAACGCGUAUCCAACCUACCUGGAAAUAAGGAAUAAUCCGUGGAAACGCGGUCUAAUGCCUUAUGUGCUCCGACGAGGACAUCUGAAUUGGAGUAAAGAUUUAUGUUUUCGGAUGGGGAUGCGUCUGAUUAGGCAGUAGGCGGGGCAACGGCCCACCUAACCGACGAUCAGUAGGGGUUCUGAGAGGAAGGUCCCCCACAUUGGAACUGAGACACGGUCCAAACUCCUACGGGAGGCAGCAGUGAGGAAUAUUGGUCAAUGGGCGAGAGCCUGAACCAGCCAAGUAGCGUGUAGGAAGACGGCCCUAUGGGUUGUAAACUGCUUUUAUGCGGGGAUAAAGUCAACUACGUGUAGUUGUUUGCAGGUACCGCAAGAAUAAGGACCGGCUAAUUCCGUG